AGUGAACGCUGGCGGUAGGCCUAACACAUGCAAGUCGAACGGCAGCACAGUAAGAGCUUGCUCUUACGGGUGGCGAGUGGCGGACGGGUGAGGAAUACAUCGGAAUCUACUUUUUCGUGGGGGAUAACGUAGGGAAACUUACGCUAAUACCGCAUACGACCUACGGGUGAAAGCAGGGGAUCUUCGGACCUUGCGCGAUUGAAUGAGCCGAUGUCGGAUUAGCUAGUUGGCGGGGUAAAGGCCCACCAAGGCGACGAUCCGUAGCUGGUCUGAGAGGAUGAUCAGCCACACUGGAAGUGAGACACGGUCCAGACUCCUACGGGAGGCAGCAGUGGGGAAUAUGGGACAAUGGGCGGAAACCUGAUCCAGCCAUACCGCGUGGGUGAAGAAGGCCUUCGGGUUGUAAAGCCCUUUUGUUGGGAAAGAAAAGCAGCAGGUUAAUACCACGCUGUUCUGACGGUACCCAAAGAAUAAGCACCGGCUAACUUCGUG
RNAcentral lists this ribosomal RNA (492 nucleotides) under uncultured bacterium. RNAcentral describes it as "partial 16S ribosomal RNA". It matches the Rfam family "Bacterial small subunit ribosomal RNA", at positions 29 to 507 of the family's 1533-position model. The record is from RNAcentral.